Long non-coding RNA from Equus caballus (horse), 1065 nucleotides. RefSeq lists it as uncharacterized. NCBI's taxonomy places the organism in Eukaryota, Metazoa, Chordata, Mammalia, Perissodactyla, Equidae. The record is from RefSeq and is a predicted model, not a curated record.
CGGGGGCUCUGCUGGUCAUGGCUGGAGUCGCACACACGGCUGGGGCUUGGCUGGCUGCUGGCCGAUCUAGGCUGGCCUGGUCAGGAGGAGUCAGGCCUCUCAGUCUGGUCCACGAGCCCCUCAUCCGCCAGGCUAGUUUAUUCGUGUGCUUCUCACAGUGACAGUGGGGGCAGGAGGGAGUAAGCGCAGCCCCUUGAAGCAUUUCAAGCCUUCGUGGGGAUCACGGGUGCUGACGUCUCGCCGGCCAAAGCCUGCAGCGUGUGGUCCCGAGUCCGUGUGGGAGGGCGCUGCAGGGUCACGGGGUACCAUGUUCAGAAAACGCUGGGGAUCUUUGAUUCAGCGAUCCCGCCGCCAGCAACUUUGUAUCCUAAGGAAGUCACCGGGCAGUGGACAAAGACGUGUGCACAAGGAUCCUCCUCCGGCCAGAGGCUGCAACCCUCAAUGGACAUCAGUCAAAGGCCAGGUUCAAAGUCAGAAUUCAUGCAAUCGUGGUCAUCUUUUCAUUAUUUUGUCUAUAACGUGGUGAUGAUUUUCAAGACACACUCUCAAGGUUUUUUAAACUCAGACAUUUCUUCCUAUUGCAUCUUUGACUAAUGCUGGAGCUACAAUGACCGCCUCUCAGGAUGGAGAUUGUAAUUAACUGAGAUUCACCCCACAGUGCAAUUAGGAUGCCUAUUGUUAGAUCCAACACCUGCGAUCUUCCAGAGUACACGAGACAUUUCCACCUCAGUGAAAGAGGCUGCGAGACUCAACUUGAACCUCUAGGAAACCACCAGGCUUUUGGUCUCAUCCGAAACAACCGCCGACUCUCAUGGAACAUUCUGCGACUAGAGAUACGCGUUCUGAACUUCCAAUGAGUGAGAAAGCAUAAAAAUUCAGCAACUGAUGAACUCUUUCUUUCUACAAGUGCAAUUAGCCCAGCUAAGUAACUAUAAACAGGAGAAAAGAGGACCUCUUAAGAGAGGAAGAACUUUUCCAAGCAGUUAUUAAAGACCCAUCUACAAAUUAUGUAUAUGCUAAUUAUAAAUCAGGCACUCUAGAAACGCCCAUUGAUAAAUGAUUUCU